Molecule: ribosomal RNA, 320 nt
Filed under: uncultured eukaryote
Lineage: Eukaryota
Description: partial 18S ribosomal RNA
Rfam family: Eukaryotic small subunit ribosomal RNA
Source: RNAcentral
CCCCUAGAUGUUCUGGGCCGCACGCGCGCUACACUGAACAGUUCAACAAGUCUUAACCUUGGCCGAUAGGUCUGGGUAAUCUUUGAACGCUGUUCGUGAUUGGGAUAGACCUUUGCAAUUAUGGGUCUUCAACGAGGAAUUCCUAGUAAACGCAAGUCAUCAGCUUGCAUUGAUUACGUCCCUGCCCUUUGUACACACCGCCCGUCGCACCUACCGAUUGAAUGGUCCGGUGAAAUCUCGGGACGGCGGCAUGGUCGCUUGCGUCCGACUGCUGAAACUUGAUUAAACCAUAUCAUUUAGAGGAAGGUGAANUCGUAACA